This 495-nucleotide ribosomal RNA is filed under the name uncultured bacterium. Its description in RNAcentral is "partial 16S ribosomal RNA". It matches the Rfam family "Bacterial small subunit ribosomal RNA", at positions 28 to 507 of the family's 1533-position model. The record is from RNAcentral.
GACGAACGCUGGCGGCGUGCCUAAUACAUGCAAGUAGAACGCUGAAGGAGGAGCUUGCUCUUCUGGAUGAGUUGCGAACGGGUGAGUAACGCGUAGGUAACCUGCCUGGUAGCGGGGGAUAACUAUUGGAAACGAUAGCUAAUACCGCAUAACAGUAGAUGUUGCAUGACAUUUGCUUAAAAGGUGCAAUUGCAUCACUACCAGAUGGACCUGCGUUGUAUUAGCUAGUUGGUGGGGUAACGGCUCACCAAGGCGACGAUACAUAGCCGACCUGAGAGGGUGAUCGGCCACACUGGGACUGAGACCCGGCCCAGACUCCUACGGGAGGCAGCAGUAGGGAAUCUUCGGCAAUGGACGGAAGUCUGACCGAGCAACGCCGCGUGAGUGAAGAAGGUUGUCGGAUCGUAAAGCUCUGUUGUAAGAGAAGAACGAGUGUGAGAGUGGAAAGUUCACACUGUGACGGUAUCUUACCAGAAAGGGACGGCUAACUACGUG